CCUACGGGUGGCAGCAGUGGGGAAUAUUGCACAAUGGGGGAAACCCUGAUGCAGCGACGCCGCGUGAGUGAAGAAGUAAUUCGUUAUGUAAAGCUCUAUUAGCAGGGAAGAAAAUGACGGUACCUGAGUAAGAAGCACCGGCUAACUACGUGCCAGCAAGCGCGGGAAUAAGUACGGGGCAGGCGUUAUCCGGAUUUACUGGGUGGAAAGGGAGCGUAGACGGCAGUGCAAGGCUGGAGUGAAAGGCGGGGGCUCAACCCCCGGACUGCUCUGGAAACUGUACGGCUGGAGUGCAGGAGAGGUAAGUGGAAUUCCUAGUGUAGCGGUGAAAUGCGUAGAUAUUAGGAGGAACACCAGUGGCGAAGGCGGCUUACUGGACUGUAACUGACGUUGAGGCUCGAAAGCGUGGGGAGCAAACAGGAUUAGAUACCCGGGUAGUC
RNAcentral lists this ribosomal RNA (440 nucleotides) under uncultured bacterium. RNAcentral describes it as "partial 16S ribosomal RNA". It matches the Rfam family "Bacterial small subunit ribosomal RNA", at positions 338 to 795 of the family's 1533-position model. The record is from RNAcentral.